RNAcentral lists this transfer RNA (72 nucleotides) under Ictidomys tridecemlineatus (thirteen-lined ground squirrel). RNAcentral's name for it is "Spermophilus tridecemlineatus (thirteen-lined ground squirrel) tRNA". It matches the Rfam family "tRNA". From Rfam's summary of the family: Transfer RNA (tRNA) molecules are approximately 80 nucleotides in length. Their secondary structure includes four short double-helical elements and three loops (D, anti-codon, and T loops). Lineage: Eukaryota; Metazoa; Chordata; Mammalia; Rodentia; Sciuridae. The record is from Rfam by way of RNAcentral.
GGGAAUGUGAUUCAGUGGUAGAAUACUUGACUGGCAUGCUUGAGGCCCUGGGUUCCAUCCCCAGCUUUGCAA